Molecule: ribosomal RNA, 253 nt
Filed under: uncultured bacterium
Lineage: Bacteria
Description: partial 16S ribosomal RNA
Rfam family: Bacterial small subunit ribosomal RNA
Source: RNAcentral
UACGAAUGGGGCUAGCGUUGCUCGGAAUUACUGGGCGUAAAGCGCACGUAGGCGGUCUUUUAAGUCGGGGGUGAAAUCCUGGAGCUCAACUCCAGAACUGCCUUCGAUACUGGAAGACUUGAGUCCGGGAGAGGUGAGUGGAACUGCGAGUGUAGAGGUGAAAUUGGUAGAUAUUCGCAAGAACACCAGUGGCGAAGGCGGCUCACUGGCCCGGUACUGACGCUGAGGUGCGAAAGCGUGGGGAGCAAACAGG